AUCAGGCCGCACCGCCGCCGCGCGGAGUCCGGGCCGCCGCAGCCCGCGGCCCGCGUCCUCCCGGGCCCGCGACGCGGGGAGCGCGGAGCGCGCAACUUACUUUCCGCCUGCGGCGGGCGCUCGGGCCCCGGCGCCCAGCCCGGCAACCGCUGAGGCCACUCGGCGGCGGAGGCUAGCCCGUCCCCCUCCCACGGCCGCCGCUCCCGGCUGCACUGCGCGCUCGCCCCUACCUCAGCAAGCAGGCGGGCUUCCGUCCGCAGCGGCCGCGGCGCCGACAACUCCCUCCCGGCCGCCGAAUCCCCGCACCCAGCACUAAUCAUAAUACCAAGCGGGCAGCCGGCCGCGGGGAGGGGGUGGGGGACCGAGAUGCGCCUGCGCGGGACGCGCGUCAUUGUGACGCGGUCGCCGGGGCGGGGCCGCGGCGAGGGCGGGGCGGGGCGCACCUGCGGGCUCCGGCGCGCGAGCUGCUGCAGGGCAUCCUGGCAGCGCCCCGACCCCGGCGAGUCUGGGCUGCGGCUGGCGACUGUCUCCUGGGCAUCUAUUUUGCAUGUCCGAAGAUGACUGGAAAGCAAGAGUGGAUUGUUGGGAGGUACAAACACUCAGAGUAAUAAGGGAAGGUUAAAGUUAAGGGGGGCUUCCCAGGUGGCAGGAGUGCUAAAGAACCCGCCUGCCAAUGCAGGAGACGCAGUACAGGAAGAGACGCAGGUUCGAUCCCUGGGUCAGGAAGGGAGAAGGGAAUGGCAACCCACUCCAGUACCCUUGCCUGGAGAAUCCCAUGGACAGAGGAGCCUGGAGGGCUACAGUCCAUGGGGUUGCACAGGGUGGAACAGACUCUGCUCUGUGAUGACAUGAAUGUGAAGGAAAUCCAAAAAGAGGGAAUAUAUGUAUAAAUAUAGCUGAUUCACUUUGCUGUCUAGCAGAAACACAACAGUGUAAGGCAACUAUACUCCAAUUUAAAAAAAAAAAACAAAAAUAAAAUAAUUAGAACAGUCUUGCUAUGUAAAAGGUAUCUAAUAAAGGCUUAUUAUUAUUUUAAAAAAGGGGGGGGGGUGGUUAAAAGAGGACUCCAAGUUACCCUAACACUCUGGCAUGGGGUGAUGUCACUGGCUGGGAAAAGCCUUGGGCUAUGGGCCUCUGCCCCUCGGGGCUGAGUCGAGGCCCCAUCCCUGGGAUAACACUGGCUUACAAAGACCUUCAAAGAAUCAUCUCGCUUUGACACACAUUCUAACUCUAGCAGUAUGUCCAGCAGGAGCUUGUGGAAUUCAUUCCUUUGUUGCUGAAAAACAGUGGUGAGGCCUUGCACUUUUCUCCUUAGGAGGGUAUCACUAUUCAGGGAACCCCAUAGCCAAGUAAAGGGGAAAAGAUACCAUUCUAAUGGUCUCCCAAGGGAAUGCCAGUGGUUGAAGACCUCCACCACCAGGUCUGUAGCCCCUGAGAUAAAGCAAUCAUCACAAAACAAUGUCUUAAUAGAUAACCCUUGGAAAAUACGUAACUCAGGUUUUGAAUAAAUUCUAUAAGGAAAACGGGACACAAGAAUAGAAAAACAAUAAAAACAAACAAAAAAAGAACAGAAUAAUACCUUGGUUUAAAUAAAGUGGGCUUGAAUUCUCUUCCAGAGAAAAGGCUGCAGUCCUGGCCACAUGGUGAAUCAUUUAUUCAUCUCCGGUGUUUCUUGGGAAGCUGGAGUGCUGCUGGCAAGAACAUGACCCAUUUUCAGUUCCACACCAUCAAUGUUGUAACAUGAUCUGAUUAUGCUUAGGCAAUAUUUUUAAAUAUUCAAGUAUAAAUAUAUGAUUACUUAACUUUGAAUUUAAGCAAAUGUGUUCAUUGUUAAUGAGAACCCCCUUCUUCAGUCUGCCCUGGGGUUUUCCCCAACCCAGACUGCUUUUUUAAUGUUAGGUCUUUUUAUGGACCUGUAAGAAGCUUUAAUUAGAUAUACAGCACUCCACACAAAUGACAAGAUGGAGCAUGCGGGCUUGGAUUACAUUCUCUGUGAUUCAGAUCUCUGAAAUAACAUAAUGCCACUGAUUUAGGGAAGUUGCUGUUUAUUGGAAGGCAACCAGGGAGAUGCUACAAAUUAGGUUAAGAUGUGAAAAGCAAGCCGAUUCAUGAAAGAACUGCCAUUUUCUUCUUGGGACUAUCCCCCUUAAAGCAGCAUGUAUAACAAGGUUAUAUCGUCUCUAGAUAUUGUUAAUUUUCAUAAUAUAAAAACAUUUCAAAUAUAUUGAAAACAACAGAGACUGAGGAUUCAUGUAUGGUUCAAUUUUGAGUUGUGACAUUUAAUUUUAUGAUUUCCUUUUGCAUAUUUAAUUAGUCAUUUUGUACAUUGAUACUUGUGCAUGUCUGAAUCCUGGCUUCAUUCCAGUAGGACCAAAAUAAUACUUCAAUGGAAUGGCCUGAAGAGUUUCUCAAAGAGUUUCCCUCACUACCCACUUGGCAUCCGUUAGCAUCCCUAAUUCUUUUAGCUCAGAUGUUUGUUAAGGCCUGUGCAUAUGUGUACAUGCGUGUGUGUGUAUGUGCAUGUGUAAUAUAUUCUUGACAGGUGUAAGGAAGGACUGAAAAUGCCAGCCCUUAACUCUGCUUCUUUGCAACCUGUGAACUGGGAAACGGCAGACACUGCCUGGUAUUGACCACCUGCCCCACCACCAAGAGUUAUAUGCCCUUGUGGGCAGACUGCUUAACUUUCCAUCUGUUUCCUCUGUAAAAUGGGAAAGAUGGUGAUGAUAAUGAUACCUUUCUUAUAAGGUGUGUGUAAGCCAGCUGUUCUCCAAGUGUGCCUCCUGGACCAGCAGCAGCAGGUUCUCCUGGGAACUAGACUGAAAUGCAAAUUCUCCAGCUCUACUCCAGACCUCCUAAAUUUAAAACUCGGUGGUUCCUCUGCUUUAAGAAGACUUCCAAGUGAAUCUGACAUAGGUGAGAGUCUGAGAACCACUAUAGAUGGGAUUAACGGGGUUUAUGCAUGUUAGUUGCCCAGUCAUGUCCAACUCUUUGAGAUACCAUAGAUUGUAGCCCACCAGGCUCCUCUCUCCACGGAAUUCUCCAGGCAAGAACACUGGAGGAUCUUCCCAACCCAGGGAUCAAACCCAGGUCUCCUGCAUUGCAGGCAGAUUCUUUUCCUGUCUGAGCCACCAGGGAAGUAUUAAAAUAGUGCUGGCACAUGGUAAGUAGUAUAUUAGUGGAUUUUUUUUUAAUCAGUGCAAUAUGAUGUUGCCAAGAUACAGUUUAAUU
Molecule: long non-coding RNA, 3228 nt
Organism: Cervus hanglu yarkandensis (Yarkand deer)
Lineage: Eukaryota; Metazoa; Chordata; Mammalia; Artiodactyla; Cervidae
Source: Ensembl